Molecule: ribosomal RNA, 272 nt
Filed under: uncultured bacterium
Lineage: Bacteria
Description: partial 16S ribosomal RNA
Rfam family: Bacterial small subunit ribosomal RNA
Source: RNAcentral
UACGGGGGGUGCGAGCGUUAAUCGGAAUAACUGGGCGUAAAGGGCACGCAGGCGGUGACUUAAGUGAGAUGUGAAAGCCCCGGGCUUAACCUGGGAAUUGCAUUUCAUACUGGGUCGCUAGAGUACUUUAGGGAGGGGUAGAAUUCACGUGUAGCGGUGAAAUGCGUAGAGAUGUGGAGGAAUACCGAAGGCGAAGGCAGCCCUUGGAAUGGUACUGACGCUCAUGUGCGAAAGCGUGGGGAGCAAACAGGGAUUAAGAUACCCGUGAGUCC